RNAcentral lists this long non-coding RNA (2299 nucleotides) under Phocoena sinus (vaquita). RNAcentral describes it as "lncRNA (ENSPSNG00000003332.1)". The record is from RNAcentral. Lineage: Eukaryota; Metazoa; Chordata; Mammalia; Artiodactyla; Phocoenidae.
AGAGGAGCCGCGUAGCCGAGCCACCGCCCUGCGCCGUCCGCCGUGUCCCCGCAGCCGGCCGUCGGGCGCAGACGCUCCCCCUGGCGGGGCUGGCGGGGGUCUCUGGGAGGGGCCCCGGUACCUCGCUCCAUGCCCUGCAUCCUUGCGGCAUCGGGCGCCCGCCCACCUGCGCGCGGGAGGGGGCUUCCUGGAUUGAAGAGAAGGGCCGCAGCCCCUCGGCUCCUUUCAUCUGGCGGAGUCUCUACAGGCAGUGGUCUCCCCUAAUUAUUACUCCGGAGUCGUGGGGACCCGCUCCCCUUCCUAUUCCAAGUACGCGGGCCUCUCACUGCUGUGACCUCUCCCAUUGCGGAGCACAGGCUCCGGACGCGCAAGCUCAGCGGCCAUGGCUCACGGGCCCAGCCGCUCCGUGGCAUGAUGGGAUCUUCCCGGACCGGGGCACGAACCCGUGUCCCCUGCAUCGGCAGGGGGACUCUCAACCACUGCGCCACCAGGGAAGCCCAUCAAUGUUGUUUUUGUUUUUUGUUUGUCUGUCACUUACUUACUGACACUACAAGAUGCUGAACUUGUAUAUUUCCUGUCCUGGUCCUAGGAUCAGCCAUUUCUCAAAGAUGUCCUUGUUACUUUUAUUGGAGAGUGGUAUUAGAACCCAAGAUUUGGUAUUUGGAGUGUAAUUGCUUCUAGACCCUCUCAGCUGACAGAGCAAGGAAAUAUAUGUGUGUAUUCUAACUAAUAAAUAUACCCAUAUCUCUGUUUCUCUAUGUGGAACCACCCCUGUCUAUAUUAAGCUAAGCAUGACUUCAUACUGAUCCAUACAACCAACUCUAAUUCAUUGCCGCAUAGAUUAUUCUAGCCAUUCCCAUUGCUUUUCUGUAAAUUCCUGCUCCAACAGUGAGAAACCUAGCUUCCAUCAUUUAACUUCCAUUUACCUAAUUGCUCAACAUGAGUGUACAUUUAUGGAAGUAUCAGAAUUAUUAACCCUACUCCUGUGGAUAACAGUUUUAUCAACUUGAGUCCAGUGCUUUUGUGUAGUUGCUUUUCUCUUUAGUUUUACCGACUUCACUCACUUCCAAGUGGUAAUCUUGAAUGCCACCAUUUCCUUAGGUAAUCACCUAUUUCCUCCACCCUCUUCAGUGAGGUCGUUUCAUAUAUGUACAAUACAGACAGAUUAUGUUGUCACAAUCUGCAUUCCAUCCUCCGGUCCCCCAACCUCUGUUUUAAUUGCCUCCUAGUCACCCUGCUGGUGAGGGAAGAGUUCCCUCCCUAGGGUUUUGGGAAUAGCCAAACACAUAACACCCGACACAGGACAGAUGACAUCAACAGCAGUCUGUUGGCCACAUAUACUCACAGUCUCUCGGGCAGGAGGGUACCACAUAGAGAAGGCACUGCCACACGGAAGUCGCACUCAGGAACAGAAGGAACAACCAGAGGCUGUGGGAGAGAGUUUUGUAGUACCAAGAGGAUGAGGUACCCUCUGGUUCCUGUGAAGAAUUUGAUUAGUUGUUUGAAUAAUUCCACAAGCUGGCAGGGAACUGAAACUAACUACUCAGGGAUCAGCACUGACUGUGCCUGGUCCCUUCAGCAUGGAGAGUUAGAGGUUUAGCUAGAGGAACUUAUCUAUGGCAAGAGUAGGGACAGGGAUAUACAGAUAGGCCAUUGUAGGCCCUCCCAUUUUUCCCAGGUAAUAAACAUGACUGUUAAGGCAACACAUAAUAUUGAGACUUUAUAUUAGGCCUUAUACUACGACUUUCCAUAUGAUUUUUAAAAAUUUGCAUACAUUAAGCUUUACUCUGUGCUGUAAAUUUUUGUGGGUUUCAACAAUGUCAUGUAUCCACUAUUUUUUUUUUUGUAUCCACUAUUAUGGUAUCACACAGAAUAGUGUCACUAUCCUAAAAAAUCUCCUGUUGCUUCACACGUUCAACCAUUCUCCUCUUUUUCCUGUCUCUAUAAUUUUGUCUUUUUCAGAAUAUCAUAUAAUUGGAAUCAUACAGCAUGUAGUAUUUUCAGACUGGCUUCUUUCCCUUAGCAAUUUCCAUUAAGGUUCAUCUAUAUCUUUUCUGUCACACUUAAAGGCUUUUGAAACAAGGAAAAUGUAAACUAUUUAAAAAAUUUUUAAAAGAUUUAUCUCCAUUCUAAAAUAUUUUCUUCAAAUAUUUUGAAAUAUUUUAUACUUUCUAAAAGAAUCUUACUAUGAUAGAGAUUUAUUAAAAGUUAUGUAAGGGACUUACCACUUCCAUUGCAGGGGGCAGUGGUUUGAUCCCUGGUCAGGAAACUAAGAUCCCGCAUGCCAUGCAGCACAGCC